Molecule: long non-coding RNA, 1595 nt
Filed under: Setaria viridis
Lineage: Eukaryota; Viridiplantae; Streptophyta; Magnoliopsida; Poales; Poaceae
Description: long non-coding RNA (SVIR_LNC004208)
Source: RNAcentral
AGGAUCUGAGGGGAGAACAAGAGAGAAGUUCAGGGGGUCCUGCAUAAAAAUUCGGAGUUAUGAGUGAGGUGGGAUUGUUUCCGGGGGCUGUAGUGUAAAAUGUAGGGGGUAGGAUGAAAAGGGAAGGGUAGAUCUAUGAGACAAACUAUUUUUCCAGGGGGUAGCUUGCAAAGUUGCUCGAUUUUGCUUUAUUUGCUAGAUUUAAAUGGUUGCAAGAUUGCAAAAUACAUAGAAACUUGUAGAAAAACGCUAAAAAUAUGAUUCUUGUUUUGUUGGAUUCCUUGUGGCGUCUAGUUUAUUUCAAAAAUGAUUUUGUGCAUGUUUUUGUUUUAUAUUUUUUGAUAUGAUUUAUUUGGUGUGAAAGCCUUUAAAUGCUUUAUAAAUCACAUAGUGCUCUAAAAAUUGUGAAACUGCUUUUGUUAGCUUCCACUCAACAUCAUGCUUACUUGCUAUGUUAAUCUUGUUAUUUGCAUAAUAAAUAGUAGAAGUUGAUAAAAUGAUGAAACCACUUCCAUUAGGCUUUGUGUUCCAUCUAGAAGCUAGGAAAAAUGAUGUUGAUACUUUUCUGAUUGUUUUACAAACCCUUUUAUAUUUAAUGUGUUUAAUGGUAGUUUAUCUUGUUUAAUUUAUAUUUCCACAUUAAAAAUUGAUUUUGAGGUGAAUCCAACUCUAAUGAUUUUGUGUUGGUUGUCUUCUAUCAGUGCCAUUUAUUUCAUUGUUGUUUCUUAAAAGAUGAUUUAUAUCUUACAAUUUAGUGCUUGUUUUGGACUUAUCGUGCAAAAUAGUUUCUCUUGUUGUUCUUGUGUGAUUUCCUAUUGUUGUUAGCAAGGUUGUUCUGUUACUCGUUGAUUUCUUACUGUUUCUUUUAUCUUUCCAUGCAUUUCAUGAGCAUUUGCACUCAUAGCAUCAUCUCUAAUGCAUGCACACAUUUCUUUCUUUUAGAGAGUAAUUUGCCGGAGAACGUGACCUUGAACCCUUGAGCCGAGGCCGGCAUAAAAGUUGAGUUUGAGCUCGAAGAAAACCAAGGCAAGCCACUAAGCAUGUUUGUUGCCUCCCUCUUUUUAAAAUGAAAUUGGUUCUAUGGGUUGCAUGAGGGUGAUAAUAACUUAAUCUUGCAACUUGCUUAGUCAUGCUUAGUCAUAAAAUGAUCACUUAGUAAACGAAACGGUCAUAGGUUAAUAAAUACCUUUUCUAAUAAGGUUCUCUAAUGUUGUUAAAACAAAUGAACAUAAUGGGUAAUGUUGGAUACAAGAAUUGGGCAGUGUGUAGGAGUUGCAACAACCAAAACUUCACAAGUUAACACAUGAAGCAAGUUAAGCUAAGAGCUUUUUAAAUAAAUAAGUCAGUGAAUGCAAAAUAAUUGGAACAUGUUUAAGUUGUUUAAAAAUUUAGAAACAGGAUAACGUUCCAAAUGAAUGCCAAGCAACACCAGAAUGACCCCCCCACCUUUCUUUUGUGAUUUCUAAGCCAUUAAAAUCUUAUAUGUGUACACAAUCACCAUCAAAGUCAACUCCGAGUUUUAAAUCGCAACACACCUUACUUUACAAGAAAACAAAUGUUUAGAAACUUGUCUAAUGAAUGUGGUCAAGAAUACA